GUAGGGAAUAUUGGACAAUGGAGGCAACUCUGAUCCAGCCAUCCCGCGUGAAGGAUUAAGGCCCUAUGGGUUGUAAACUUCUUUUCUCUGGGAAUAAAAACCGGGAUUUAUCCUGGCUUGAAGGUACCAGAGGAAUAAGCACCGGCUAACUCCGUGCCAGCAGCCGCGGUAAUACGGAGGGUGCAAGCGUUAUCCGGAUUCACUGGGUUUAAAGGGUGCGUAGGUGGUUUUGUAAGUCAGUGGUGAAAGCCCGGAGCUCAACUCCGGAACUGCCAUUGAUACUGCUUAACUUGAAUCAAGUAGAGGUGGAUGGAAUAAUACAUGUAGCGGUGAAAUGCUUAGAUAUGUAUUAGAACACCGAUUGCGAAGGCAGUUCACUAUGCUUGUAUUGACACUGAGGCACGAAAGCGUGGGGAUCAAACAGGAUUAGAUACCCUAGUAGUCC
RNAcentral lists this ribosomal RNA (445 nucleotides) under uncultured bacterium. RNAcentral describes it as "bacterial SSU rRNA". It matches the Rfam family "Bacterial small subunit ribosomal RNA", at positions 354 to 796 of the family's 1533-position model. The record is from RNAcentral.